RNAcentral lists this ribosomal RNA (402 nucleotides) under uncultured bacterium. RNAcentral describes it as "bacterial SSU rRNA". It matches the Rfam family "Bacterial small subunit ribosomal RNA", at positions 355 to 774 of the family's 1533-position model. The record is from RNAcentral.
UGGGGAAUCUUGGACAAUGGGCGCAAGCCUGAUCCAGCCAUGCCGCGUGAGUGAAGAAGGCCUUAGGGUUGUAAAGCUCUUUUGCCAGGGACGAUAAUGACGGUGCCUGGAGAAUAAGCCCCGGCAAACUUCGUGCCAGCAGCCGCGGUAAUACGAAGGGGGCUAGCGUUGUUCGGAUUUACUGGGCGUAAAGCGCACGUAGGCGGGUCGUUAAGUCAGGGGUGAAAUCCCGGAGCUCAACUCCGGAACUGCCUUUGAUACUGGCGACCUUGAGGCUGGAAGAGGUUAGUGGAAUUCCCAGUGUAGAGGUUAAAUUCGUAGAUAUUGGGAAGAACACCAGUGGCGAAGGCGGCUAACUGGUCCAGAUCUGACGCUGAGGUGCGAAAGCGUGGGGAGCAAACA